This is a long non-coding RNA of Gallus gallus (chicken), 1557 nucleotides long. The record is from Ensembl. NCBI's taxonomy places the organism in Eukaryota, Metazoa, Chordata, Aves, Galliformes, Phasianidae.
UCACGAUUGGCUGAAUCACAGAUAUCAGAAGAACGCCUAAACUUUGUUUUCAGACAAUUCUUCUGUUUCUUUUGUUGCUCAGUGUAGGAUGGACCUAGAGGAGUGGUCUUAUAAAAUCAGUGGUUGGACCAUUGUACCUCACGACCAUCAUCUUGCUGUAUUUGCUGUCUGGUGACCCAGUUUUGAGAGAAGAAUGGAAUCACUUUCAUCACUAUUUCUUGUACCUCCUGCACCCUCUGGAGAAGGAGAUAACCAUAUGAAUGAGUUUGGAAUGAGGAGUCACUCAGCCAUGCCCCCAUCUCCAGCAUUGCCCACAAUGAACCAUGUGCACCAACCCUUACUGUAGAAUAACUGAGAUCCAUAGAUACAGUGAGCAUUUUCUGAGUAUUUAGGACAUUUCCAUUCCCUGUGCUCUGUUACAGAAUCCUGAAGACAGUGAAAAGGUACCCACAGAUGAAUCAAGCCUGCUGUCUGUGCAAAGAAGGAUGAGUACAGUAGAACUGCUGAAGCCUGAGCAUUCAGCAGAGAAACUAUAGCAGACAUGAGUGAAAUGCUAGGUGAUAUCAGAGGUACACAUCCAUGCCUGUACGAAGAAUUAGAAGUGUGGCAGCUCCCAUCUUCAAAGUGGUCAUCCAAAGGCAUGGGCCACCACUCGUGUGAACAUAAGUAUAUCACUUCAUAGUUUAGUUUCCAUCUGACUUGCCGUGGGAUUUACUCUAGCUCUAGCUUUUAAAUGGAAAUGCAAUGCCUUUAUCCCAACUCAGUCUUGCAAUCUUUUCAACCUCAAUACUGAGUCUGAUCAGCACCAGUAUCUACAGGGAGAGACGUAGAAGACCCUGUGUUUAGCAGCAUUAGUUAGCAAAGCAAAGGUAUUUAUUACAAAGGACAGUUUCUUAUGUUUCAAAUAAGUAUAGUUUAAACCCAUACAGAUAAAGUUAUAUCACCUUAACAAUGCAUUGUUUAACUUUAGCCGGUACAAUUAUGUUAUUUUUGGUCAACCUACUGAGCAACCAAGCCAUCUUUCCUGUCCAAUCCAAGCGUGCUAUGUCUUUCUUCAUUGUGAUAUUAGAUGACACAAGAAAGAUGUAUCACAACAAAGCCAAUUGUCUUUUUUUCAGUGUUGAGAUGGUUAUUUUCCCUACUCUUCUUUUGCUGUGAGCACCAGGAAGAGAAAGUUUGUUCUUAUAGUCUGUCUACAUUGCAAUGGAAAAUCUGAACUCUUCUCCCAAUAUUACAAGUAGUAUAAAGUUUACUAUGUUGGGACUUCAUGGGUCCAGUACAUACUCUGUCACCACUACUAAGGUCAACAGAAAGUGCUAGCACAGAACUUUAUUCUGUGAAGAAGACAUUUCUUUCCUUUCCUUUCAUGAGGAACAAUUGUCUUCUCUACUGCUUAUUUUUCUUUACCACAGUUUUAGCUGUUAAAAAAUAAUAAUGUAUUCAUAGAAUCAUAGAAUCACUUGGGUUGGAAGGGACCUCAAGGAUCAUCAAGUUCCAACCUCCCUGCAGCAGGCAGGGUUGCCAACGGCUAGAUCAAAUACUAUAUCAUAUUGCCCA